This 404-nucleotide unclassified non-coding RNA is filed under the name uncultured Inocybe. RNAcentral describes it as "sequence contains ITS2". The stretch from base 1 to 154 matches the Rfam family "5.8S ribosomal RNA". Lineage: Eukaryota; Fungi; Basidiomycota; Agaricomycetes; Agaricales; Cortinariaceae. The record is from RNAcentral.
AACUUUUGGCAAUUGAUCACUUGGCUCUCGCAUCGAUGGAGAACGCAGCGAAAUGCGAUAAGUAAUGUGAAUUGCAGAAUUCAGUGAAUCAUCGAAUCUUUGAACGCAUCUUGCGCUCCUUGGUAUUCCGAGGAGCAUGCCUGUUUGAGUGUCAUUUGACUUCUCUCAACCACAUCGUCUUUUCGAUUGUGGCUUGGAUGUGGGGGGAUUUGCAGGCUAACUAACUGACAAGCCGGCUCCCCUGAAAUGCAUUAGUGGUAAUCUGAGCUGCUAUUGGUGUGAUAAUUUAUCUAUGCCUUUGGUACAGGACCGCUUAUAAACAACACAAAAAAUCAUUUGACAAAUUUGACCUCAAAUCAGGUAGGACUACCCGCUGAACUUAAGCAUAUCAAUAAGCGGAGGCU